Molecule: ribosomal RNA, 460 nt
Filed under: uncultured bacterium
Lineage: Bacteria
Description: partial 16S ribosomal RNA
Rfam family: Bacterial small subunit ribosomal RNA
Source: RNAcentral
CCUACGGGUGGCAGCAGUGAGGAAUAUUUGUCAAUGGGCGCGAGCCUGAACCAGCCAAGUAGCGUGAAGGAUGACUGCCCUACGGGUUGUAAACUUCUUUUAUAAAGGAAUAAAGUGAGGCACGUGUGCCUCUUUGUAUGUACUUUAUGAAUAAGGAUCGGCUAACUCCGUGCCUGCAGCCGCGGUAAUACGGAGGAUCCGAGCGUUAUCCGGAUUUAUUGGGUUUAAAGGGAGCGUAGAUGGGUUGUUAAGUCAGUUGUGAAAGUUUGCGGCUCAACCGUAAGAUUGCAAUUGAUACUGGCAGUCUUGAGUACAGUUGAGGUAGGCGGAAUUCGUGGUGUAGCGGUGAAAUGCUUAGAUAUCACGAAGAACUCCGAUUGCGAAGGCAGCUUACUAAACUGCAACGGACGUUGAGGCUCGAAAGUGAGGGUAUCGAACAGAAUUAGAUACCCGUGUAGUC